ACCGGUUUGGUUAUUGAAAGAAGGAAGGAUUGAGUUCGGUUUAAUCAUUGAAGCUGAAGACUCGACUUGGUUUAGAGGGUUUGACGUUGACUAUAAAAAGGACUCGUCUUCUUCUUUUCUGUUCAAUCCUCUGUAACAAACAUUGUAUCUUCUUCUUCUUCCUCUGAUCUUGAGCUUGUAACGGUGUGUGUAAAAGCUUGAGAAACUCCAUUGAUAUAGUGAAUUGCUGGUCAGAAUCCAGCCGAGACGUAGGCUUACUCAUCCCGAGUAGCUGAACUCGUAAAUCCUCUGUGUCACUUUCUUCUUUGAGUGUUUCUUGUUUUGAGAGUGAGAGAGGUUCGUGUGCGUGAGAUCACAAAUCGAUCAAGGUUUAAGGUGAAGGCAUCACCACAAUUUAUAGAGCCGAGAGUAAUGGCGUGGAAAGGUCCA
This is a long non-coding RNA of Arabidopsis thaliana (thale cress), 429 nucleotides long. RefSeq annotates it as other RNA. The transcript has 2 exons. Lineage: Eukaryota; Viridiplantae; Streptophyta; Magnoliopsida; Brassicales; Brassicaceae. The record is from RefSeq.